RNAcentral lists this ribosomal RNA (498 nucleotides) under uncultured bacterium. RNAcentral's name for it is "partial 16S ribosomal RNA". It matches the Rfam family "Bacterial small subunit ribosomal RNA", at positions 899 to 1397 of the family's 1533-position model. The record is from RNAcentral.
ACUCAAAUGAAUAGACGGGGGCCCGCACAAGCGGUGGAGCAUGUGGUUUAAUUCGAUGCAACGCGAAGAACCUUACCUGGGUUAGACAACGUAUGACAGGGGUAGAGAUAUCCUUUUCCCUUCGGGGACAUACGGUUCAGGUGCUGCAUGGCUGUCGUCAGCUCGUAUCGUGAGAUGUCGGGUUAAGUCCCUUAACGAGCGCAACCCUUAUCUUUAGUUGCCAUCAUUCAGUUGGGCACUCUAGAGAGACCGCCGGCGUUAAGCCGGAGGAAGGCGGGGAUGACGUCAAGUCCUCAUGGCCCUUAUGUCCAGGGCUACACACGUGCUACAAUGGCCGGUACAAAGAGUCGCCAACCAGUAAUGGGGAGCUAAUCUCAGAAAACCGGUCUCAGUUCGGAUUGAAGUCUGCAACUCGACUUCAUGAAGCUGGAAUCGCUAGUAAUCGCAGAUCAGCACGCUGCGGUGAAUACGUUCCCGGGCCUUGUACACACCGCCCGU